RNAcentral lists this ribosomal RNA (490 nucleotides) under uncultured bacterium. Its description in RNAcentral is "partial 16S ribosomal RNA". It matches the Rfam family "Bacterial small subunit ribosomal RNA", at positions 30 to 507 of the family's 1533-position model. The record is from RNAcentral.
AUUGAACGCUGGCGGCAGGCCUAACACAUGCAAGUCGAACGGUAACAGGAAGAAGCUUGCUUCUUUGCUGACGCGUGGCGGACGGGUGAGUAAUGUCUGGGAAACUGCCUGAUGGAGGGGGAUAACUACUGGAAACGGUAGCUAAUACCGCAUAACGUCGCAAGACCAAAGAGGGGGACCUUCGGGCCCCUUGCCCUCGGAUGUGCCCAGAUGGGAUUAGCUAGUAGGUGGGGUAACGGCUCACCAAGGCGACGAUCCCUAGCUGGUCUGAGAGGAUGACCAGCCACACUGGAACUGAGACACGGUCCAGACUCCUACGGGAGGCAGCAGUGGGGAAUAUUGCACAAUGGGCGCAAGCCUGAUGCAGCCAUGCCGCGUGUAUGAAGAAGGCCUUCGGGUUGUAAAGUACUUUCAGCGGGGAGGAAGGGAGUAAAGUUAAUACCUUGGCUCAUUGACGUUACCCGCAGAAGAAGCACCGGCUAACUCCGUG